RNAcentral lists this ribosomal RNA (513 nucleotides) under Sishanaspis sp. ud4456. Its description in RNAcentral is "partial 28S ribosomal RNA". Lineage: Eukaryota; Metazoa; Arthropoda; Insecta; Hemiptera; Diaspididae. The record is from RNAcentral.
CGAAGGCGCGAAUCUCUGGCUGGCCGACGGACAGUAAGCUAAACGGUGUCCGAUGUCGUCGUCUUGUACGCGCGCGCAUCGGUGCCGGUCGGCGACGAUUUCUUCGGGCCUCUUUCCGACCCGUCUUGAAACACGGACCAAGGAGUCUAACAUGCGCGCGAGUCGCGGGGUGUCGAGCGUACUACGGUGCGUUCGUUACGUCACGAAACCCGUACAUGUCGAAGGCGUAAUGAAAGUAAAUGGGGAAGAUGGUGUUCCGAGUACACGUUCCGCGGUCACUGGUACCGCGGCCGGACACCCGCAUUCCCGGGGCGUCUCAACGGCCCGUCGCGGAUGCGGACAGUCGUCUYUCGGGUCGGCUGUCGGUCUGCGACGAACCGAGGCGCACCUAUAGCGUGCACGUUGGUACCCGAAAGAUGGUGAACUAUGCCUGGCCAGGAUGAAGUCAGGGGAAACCCUGAUGGAGGUCCGCAGCGAUUCUGACGUGCAAAUCGAUCGUCUGAGCUGGGUAUA